UACGUAGGGGGCAAGCGUUGUCCGGAAUCAUUGGGCGUAAAGAGCGUGUAGGCGGCCCGGUAAGUCCGCCGUGAAAGUCCAGGGCUCAACCCUGGGAUGCCGGUGGAAACUGUCGGGCUCGAGUCCGGAAGAGGCGAGUGGAAUUCCUGGUGUAGCGGUGAAAUGCGCAGAUAUCAGGAGGAACACCAAUAGCGAAGGCAGCUCGCUGGGACGGUACUGACGCUGAGACGCGAAAGCGUGGGGAGCGAACAGG
This 253-nucleotide ribosomal RNA is filed under the name uncultured bacterium. RNAcentral's name for it is "partial 16S ribosomal RNA". It matches the Rfam family "Bacterial small subunit ribosomal RNA", at positions 524 to 776 of the family's 1533-position model. The record is from RNAcentral.